UUGAUAAUAUCUAAAUUGUAGACACAUGUGUUUUGAAUUUGAUUUUAUAUAUACAAUGUUUGAUUCAUUUAGCAUUGUCAUUGUUUUCACAUUGAUUUAUAUUUUCGUUUCAUUCUGCAGGCAGGUGUUCUGAAUUUAUAUAAUGGACGAUGUUUGGUUCAUUUAGUAUUAUACAAUGGUUUCGCUUUAAUAAUAUUUUCGGUUCAUUCUGCAGUCCAGUUUGUUGUAGAUGAACAAUUUGUCCCAAAGGUUGGGAUGACUUUCAUGACACUAGAAGAAGCUGAAAAGUUCUACAAAAAUUAUUCUAAACUUGCCAGUUUUUCUACCAAAAUAAGGAACACGACUCGGAAGGGAGACGAAAUUAAGAAUCAACUAAUUGUAUGCAGUAGAGAGGGGAAGUGGAAAUCCAAGAUAUUUCCAACUCUGAAGACAAACCCCUUAGCCGGCAUAAACUGUCUAGCCAGGAUUUACGUACACAUAUUGAAUGACGUCAGUCUUUGGACAAUUUCCAAAGUUGUUUUGAAUCAUUCACACCCCUGCUAUCCAGACCGAGCAGAGAGGCUCAAACAACACAGGGAGUUAAGCAUGUUUGUGCGACGCACCAUCGAAAACAACGGGAAAGCCGGAAUCAGACCGAGCAAAACAUACCAAUCAUUCGUAGCAGCAGCGGGCAGUCAUCAGGAACUAAGUUUUAUAAAAAAAAACGUGAGAAAUUACAUCACAAGAGAAGUAUGAAAUAUUUUCGAACAAGAUGAUGCCAAAGAAUUUGGGAAGUACCUAUUAAGAAUGAAAGAGAAGAAUAAAAAUUUCUCUUUCGAGCUCAACUUCGAAGGCGAUCACUCCAUAAAAAAAUGCAUUCUGGGCCGAUGCAAGAAGCAUGCUGCAUGCGAGUAUUUUGGAGACGUUUUAUUUGACACCACUUACAAUACAAACAGGUAUUCGGUUCACCGAAAUUAAGUCUUAGGUUCACACAGGCAACACAUUUCAGUUCAUAACUGUUGCCAGUGUCCAUUUUUGCAGGUAUAAUCUGGUUUUUGAUUCUUUUGUGGGCAUGAAUCACCACGGUCAGUCGACACUUCUCGGAUGCGCUCUGAUGAAAAAUGAGGACAUUCAAUUAUUCAAAUGGCUAUUCGAGUGUUGGCUCCGUUGCAUGGGAGGGAAAGCACCAAAAGGCAUUCUCAUCGACCAAUGCGCAUCGAUGCAAAGGGCCAUCGAGAUGUGCAUGCUAACAACAAUUUACCGGUGGUGCAUCUGGCAUAUCAUGAAGAAGAUCACAAACAAAUUAAACAGCUACAAGUGACACGAAGAAAUCGAACAAGAGAUGAGUCACAUCGUUUGAAACUCGUUCACAAAAGACGCAUUCGACAGAAACUGGAACGAUUUUGUCACAAAGUUUGGCAUCGGAAGCAAUAAGUGGCUCUCAGAGCUACACGAAGAUCGCCAUUUAUGGAUUUCAGUUUACCUAGAUCACUACUUUUGGGCCAGAAUGAGAAACACACAAAGGAGCGAGAAUAUGCACGCAUUUUUCAACAAGUUCAUCACACGGAACAGCUCCUUGAUUCAAUUUGUGAAGCAAUACGAUAAUUGCCUAGCAAGCAGAGAGCAAAGAGAGAGAGAAUUUGAUGCUGCAGAUUUUUACACCGGAAUACCGUGCGCAACAAAAUCGACAAUAGAUGCUCAAUUUCAGCAUGUAUAUACCCACUAGAAGUUCAGAAAAGUUCAAGCACAAUUCAGAGGAAAGGUGAACUGCAUCACAAGAUCAAUGCAUUCCACCAUAGGUUUUACGACAUACGAAGUCGUAGAGUAAGUUUCUAACUCCACAUUCAACAGGUUUUUCGUCACCUACGACGUAGUAUCACAAGAAGUAAAGUGCAUGUGCCUGUUGUUCGAGUCAAGGGGCAUACUUUGCCGCUAUUCCUUGAGCAUCUUAAGCUUUGAGCGAGUAGAUAAAGUGACACUGAAAUAUAUACUGGAACGCUGGAGUAAUAACAUAAAGAGGACGCACACACACAUCAAGAGCAGUCAAGAUGAGCCUCUAUUGGAGCUGAGAAGCAAGAAAUUCCACGAUUUAGUGUUUCGGUCACACAAUAUUUGCGAAUUUGCGUCAGAGUCCGAGGAGCUGACCAAAAUUUUGCACCGGGCUUUUGACAAUGUCAUGGCCGAGAUACAAGAAUAUCAAGCGAAAAACAAAGGAAAAAGUUCGUUAUCUCACGAAGAAGUGACAUUGAGCGAUGUGAACAACCUUCAAAGCCCGCCAUGUGUGGGAACAGGAGGCCGCCCCAAGAACAGACCUGGAUCGAACUUGAAAAAAAAGGUCGCAAACGCCACAAAGAAAAAGAAAAAGCCAGCUCCAAGCGAGUUGAACCUUUUAGACGGUGGAUCAACGAUUCAAUCAAGCUCCAGCCUUUACAAUGCACAGGAUAUGAAUUAUCCCGGAGAGGAUUAUAGGAGUUUCAGUUUUUGUUAACAUAAAUUUUCAUUCAUGUAUCAACAAAUUUCGGUUCAUUAAAGUUA
Non-coding RNA from Arachis ipaensis, 2514 nucleotides. The record is from RefSeq and is a predicted model, not a curated record. Lineage: Eukaryota; Viridiplantae; Streptophyta; Magnoliopsida; Fabales; Fabaceae.